Molecule: transfer RNA, 74 nt
Filed under: Euzebya pacifica
Lineage: Bacteria; Bacillati; Actinomycetota; Nitriliruptoria; Euzebyales; Euzebyaceae
Description: Euzebya sp. DY32-46 tRNA-Ala
Rfam family: tRNA
About the family: Transfer RNA (tRNA) molecules are approximately 80 nucleotides in length. Their secondary structure includes four short double-helical elements and three loops (D, anti-codon, and T loops).
Source: RNAcentral
GGGGCUCUAGCUCAUCGUGGCAGAGCACGUCCCUGGCAGGGACGAGGUGCGGGGUUCAAGCCCCCGGAGCUCCA